AUUGAACGCUGGCGGCAUGCCUUACACAUGCAAGUCGAACGGCAGCACGGGAGCAAUCCUGGUGGCGAGUGGCGAACGGGUGAGUAAUAUAUCGGAACGUGCCCAGUCGUGGGGAUAACGUAGCGAAAGCUACGCUAAUAUCGCAUACGAUCUAUGGAUGAAAGCGGGGGAUCGCAAGACCUCGCGCGAUUGGAGCGGCCGAUAUCAGAUUAGGUAGUCGGUGAGGUAAAGGCUCACCAAGCCGACGAUCUGUAGCUGGUCUGAGAGGACGACCAGCCACACUGGGACUGAGACACGGCCCAGACUCCUACGGGAGGCAGCAGUGGGGAAUUUUGGACAAUGGGCGCAAGCCUGAUCCAGCAAUGCCGCCGUGCAGGAUGAA
This 382-nucleotide ribosomal RNA is filed under the name uncultured bacterium. RNAcentral's name for it is "bacterial SSU rRNA". It matches the Rfam family "Bacterial small subunit ribosomal RNA", at positions 30 to 412 of the family's 1533-position model. The record is from RNAcentral.